Small nucleolar RNA from Lemur catta (Ring-tailed lemur), 101 nucleotides. RefSeq annotates it as small nucleolar RNA U13. The transcript has a single exon. The record is from RefSeq and is a predicted model, not a curated record. NCBI's taxonomy places the organism in Eukaryota, Metazoa, Chordata, Mammalia, Primates, Lemuridae.
AUCCUUUUGUAGUUUCUAAGCAUGAUGAUUGUGUUUUCACACUCCUGUGUGAGACGUUCCUCCUGCAAACCUUGUUACUUCUGCACAUUACCCAUCUGAUG